Molecule: ribosomal RNA, 348 nt
Filed under: Ochromonas sp. CCMP1393
Lineage: Eukaryota; Chrysophyceae; Chromulinales; Chromulinaceae
Description: partial Bacterial large subunit ribosomal RNA
Rfam family: Bacterial large subunit ribosomal RNA
Source: RNAcentral
GCGACAAGACCUGGAGAUAUCAGAAGUGAGAAUGCUGACAUGAGUAGCGACAAAGAGUGUGAGAGACACUCUCGCCGAAAGUCCAAGGGUUCCUGCUUAAAGCUAAUCUGAGCAGGGUGAGCCGGCCCCUAAGCCGAGGCCGAAAGGCGUAGGCGAUGGGAACCAGUUUAAUAUUACUGGGCCAGAGGAUGGUGACGGAUCGAAAGCGUAGUUCAACCUUACUGGAUUGGUUGGGCUGCCGGACGGUUCCUGGAAAUAGCCCCUCAUUAGACCGUACCCUAAACCGACACAGGUGGACUGGUAGAGAAUACCAAGGCGCUUGAGAGAACUCGGGUGAAGGAACUAGGC